AUUUUUUUAAGGUAGCAUGGAAGUUUUAAUUUAAUGGUUCUCUCAUAGAAGGAGAGGAAGAGGUGAUGAUGACGAUGCAGAGAGACCACCCAUCUGCACCAGCUGAGCCCAUCUGCAGAGGGCGUUCUGCAGAUGCCUUGCUGCAGCUCAGCUCCCAGCUGCACAGGAGCUGAAGAGACCUGCAUGGGAGCAAGUGGUCUGCAAGCUCCUUUCUGCCCAGGAAGAAGCUGGAUUGUUGAACUUGUGAAGAGCAUGGAAUCAAGUCCCGCUUCCAACAGGCCCUUAGCCAGCUGUGGAAGCUUUGGGAAAUUCCUUCAUUCCUCUGAGCCUCAGUUUCUUCAUCUAUGGAACCUACACCUCCAGCAAAGCAUGGUGUGGUUUAC
Molecule: long non-coding RNA, 383 nt
Organism: Bos indicus x Bos taurus (hybrid cattle)
Lineage: Eukaryota; Metazoa; Chordata; Mammalia; Artiodactyla; Bovidae
Source: Ensembl